Molecule: transfer RNA, 71 nt
Filed under: Oryctes borbonicus
Lineage: Eukaryota; Metazoa; Arthropoda; Insecta; Coleoptera; Scarabaeidae
Rfam family: tRNA
About the family: Transfer RNA (tRNA) molecules are approximately 80 nucleotides in length.
Source: Rfam by way of RNAcentral
GAUUCUGUGGCGUUGGUUCAGCGCGCUUGUCCGGCAAACGGAAGCUGUAGGUUUUAAUCCUACUAGACUCA